GAUGAACGCUGGCGGCGUGCCUAAUACAUGCAAGUCGAGCGAACAGACGAGGAGCUUGCUCCUCUGACGUUAGCGGCGGACGGGUGAGUAACACGUGGAUAACCUACCUAUAAGACUGGGAUAACUUCGGGAAACCGGAGCUAAUACCGGAUAAUAUAUUGAACCGCAUGGUUCAAUAGUGAAAGACGGUUUUGCUGUCACUUAUAGAUGGAUCCGCGCCGCAUUAGCUAGUUGGUAAGGUAACGGCUUACCAAGGCAACGAUGCGUAGCCGACCUGAGAGGGUGAUCGGCCACACUGGAACUGAGACACGGUCCAGACUCCUACGGGAGGCAGCAGUAGGGAAUCUUCCGCAAUGGGCGAAAGCCUGACGGAGCAACGCCGCGUGAGUGAUGAAGGUCUUCGGAUCGUAAAACGCUGUUAUGAGGGAAGAACAAAUGUGUAAGUAACUAUGCACGUCUUGACGGUACCUAAUCAGAAAGCCACGGCUAACUACGU
RNAcentral lists this ribosomal RNA (496 nucleotides) under uncultured bacterium. RNAcentral's name for it is "partial 16S ribosomal RNA". It matches the Rfam family "Bacterial small subunit ribosomal RNA", at positions 28 to 506 of the family's 1533-position model. The record is from RNAcentral.